UGCAAGUCGAACGGCAGCACGGGAGCAAUCCUGGUGGCGAGUGGCGAACGGGUGAGUAAUAUAUCGGAACGUGCCCAGUCGUGGGGGAUAACGCAGCGAAAGCUGUGCUAAUACCGCAUACGAUCUAUGGAUGAAAGCGGGGGAUCGCAAGACCUCGCGCGAUUGGAGCGGCCGAUAUCAGAUUAGGUAGUUGGUGGGGUAAAGGCUCACCAAGCCGACGAUCUGUAGCUGGUCUGAGAGGACGACCAGCCACACUGGAACUGAGACACGGUCCAGACUCCUACGGGAGGCAGCAGUGGGGAAUUUUGGACAAUGGGCGCAAGCCUGAUCCAGCAAUGCCGCGUGCAGGAUGAAGGCCUUCGGGUUGUAAACUGCUUUUGUACGGAACGAAACGGUCUGCUCUAAUACAGUGGGCUAAUGACGGUACCGUAAGAAUAAGCACCGGCUAACUACGUGCCAGCAGCCGCGGUAAUACGUAGGGUGCGAGCGUUAAUCGGAAUUACUGGGCGUAAAGCGUGCGCAGGCGGUUAUAUAAGACAGAUGUGAAAUCCCCGGGCUCAACCUGGGACCUGCAUUUGUGACUGUAUAGCUAGAGUACGGCAGAGGGGGAUGGAAUUCCGCGUGUAGCAGUGAAAUGCGUAGAUAUGCGGAGG
This 653-nucleotide ribosomal RNA is filed under the name uncultured bacterium. Its description in RNAcentral is "bacterial SSU rRNA". It matches the Rfam family "Bacterial small subunit ribosomal RNA", at positions 56 to 704 of the family's 1533-position model. The record is from RNAcentral.